Achroia grisella is the source of this 651-nucleotide long non-coding RNA. RefSeq lists it as uncharacterized. The record is from RefSeq and is a predicted model, not a curated record. NCBI's taxonomy places the organism in Eukaryota, Metazoa, Arthropoda, Insecta, Lepidoptera, Pyralidae. The transcript is spliced from 3 exons.
ACUGGAGUUUUAAUAGAUUGUUGGCGAUAUUCCUAAGAUAAACGGCUACAAAUUCUAAAUGGCAGCAAGUCAAACAGGCAUUCAAAAUGAAAGGUUCUCUUAGUACCAGAAUGACUAAGCUGCCGCGCAUAGCUGAUAAUCAAGAUACAAAUACCGUUCAUCGGUCGGGACACCCUCUUGCAGCAACCAGAUGGUGUUCGUCGUCAAUACUGACUCACCUUCCAACGAUAUACCUCGACGGUAAUUACUGCGGCCAGAUCAUAACGACUAGCUACGGCUACACUUUAAAAAAGCAGGUGGGUAUUUAUUAAGAUAUCUUUGUAAAUUCGUAAUGAAGAAGUGCGUAUGACUAAUUAACCAAUAAUACUCUAGAUACCUAGGUUCUUAAGUUCCGUUUACAAUAAUUACUAAUGCGCAGUAUUAUAACGCAGGUUUGUCUCGGUCUCGCAGAAUGUAGACGAGGACAUCGCGCAGUCCGUCACAACGACGUGAGUGAAUCUCAAAAAGUUGGAUGACACCUGGGUACAUCAUUUCGAUCCUGAAACCAAACGGCUAUAUUCAGUGGCCAUUACGGGUUUAUUUAUUUUGCUGCCCUGUGAUGAUAGUAUUUGAACUGUAAAGGCAAUAAAAUAUCCCCCUUAGAUAGCAACU